Molecule: long non-coding RNA, 204 nt
Filed under: Elaeis guineensis (African oil palm)
Lineage: Eukaryota; Viridiplantae; Streptophyta; Magnoliopsida; Arecales; Arecaceae
Description: long non-coding RNA (EGUI_LNC039593)
Source: RNAcentral
AUGGUCCACCAUGGACCAGAGCAUUUCCAGGUGGUUUCUCGUGGUCCAUGGGGAUUUUCUAUGGAUCGAGUGGCCUGUUGCACGAUCUGACAGCUUCCAAGGUGUUGCAAGUUUGAUCUAAUGGCUGCAUGCUUGAUCAACAUGAUCAAGGGGCGUGCAGCAGGUGAUGAGGUGCGAUCAAAUGACCCAGGGAUAAGCCAAUCG